GCAUGCUGCUCAAUUCACAACAAAACGAGCUUUUAUCUACUUUUUUUCUCACCCUAAAAAUCAGGCUAAAGCUACAGUAGCCACCAAGCAUUCUUAUAACAGUCUCUUCCUUCUCUAACACAUGUCUACUUUGUUUUUCACCUUUGGUAUUUUUCAAAAAAGAAUAGGUCUUCUUCUUUCUUUCCUUCCCUUCGCUCAAUCUUUCUUUCGAGUCCUUUUCAGUUUGUUACGAUUCCAUUCUUUCAAAUGUACUAGUUCAUUCAGUCUUGAUCACUUACUCAAUAAGCACUCUAAAGUGAAAGUCUAUUCUAUCUGCUUGGCUAAGUCUUAUCCUCACUCAUUCUGCUUCGGAUUAGAUUAGGU
RNAcentral lists this unclassified non-coding RNA (363 nucleotides) under Hevea brasiliensis (rubber tree). Lineage: Eukaryota; Viridiplantae; Streptophyta; Magnoliopsida; Malpighiales; Euphorbiaceae. The record is from RNAcentral.